RNAcentral lists this unclassified non-coding RNA (579 nucleotides) under Hevea brasiliensis (rubber tree). Lineage: Eukaryota; Viridiplantae; Streptophyta; Magnoliopsida; Malpighiales; Euphorbiaceae. The record is from RNAcentral.
UAGAUCUUGAACACCAUUUCAACCUCCUUCUUCUUCUCUUCUUCUUCUCUUCUUCUUCCACUUCUUAUUUUUAGAUUAGAUCUUUCAUUCCUCAGAAUACCCCAAUUAGAGAUCUGUCUUCUCAGGGUUUUCCUGAAUGAUCAAUUGAAGAAUUUUGGCUUGGCUGUUAAGUUCUUACUGCUUGUUUGCGAGAGAGUGGGCUACUUAAUAAUAGUAAAGACAUGCAUGACCUUGUGAUAAAGUACUGGUGUGCCUAUACUAAAUGAAGACUCAAGCGUGGCGUCUGGGCAUGGGUGAUGUGCAGACCUUGCCAGGGUCUCGCCACCGCCCUCCUUUGAAAAGGCCAAUAUGGAUUAUUGUCUUGGUUUCGAUGGUCAGCCUAUUUCUAGUUUGUGCUUAUGUCUAUCCACCCCAAAGCAGUGCUGCUUGUUAUGUGUUUUCUUCCAGAGGUUGCAAGGCUUUUACUGAUUGGCUUCCACCUGCUCCUGCAAGGGAAUAUACUGAUGAAGAAAUUGCGUCUCAGAUUGUGAUUAGGGAAAUUUUGAGUACGCCUCCUAUUCAAACAAAAAAUGCUAAAAU